This is a long non-coding RNA of Megalopta genalis, 1876 nucleotides long. RefSeq lists it as uncharacterized. The record is from RefSeq and is a predicted model, not a curated record. Lineage: Eukaryota; Metazoa; Arthropoda; Insecta; Hymenoptera; Halictidae.
UUUCACAUAGACGACAAGCUUUAUCAAUACACCAAUCUAUAUUUCUCCACAAUUAUUAUUUCUUGAUCUUUCGAUAUGUUGUUCUAUCAUUUUUAUCUGAUCAUUAUAAUACAGGUACAGAUGCACGUAUAGGUUCAGGUGUAAGAUACAGGUAUAAGUCCAGGUGUAGAUAGAGGUAUGGGUACACAGAUGUAGGUACAGAUAUAGGUGCAUGUAUACGUACAAAUAUAGGUACAGGUGCAGCUAUAGGUACAGGUACAGCUCUAUAGGUAUUCGAAACCUGAGACGCACAGAACUAAAGUACACGCGAACGAAACAGAAAAAGGCCGAGGUGUGGGAUCGAGUUCCGAGUAAGAUACGGGGAAAAGUACGAGACCUGCUUCGUACGAGUUAUACCGUCUGUUCGGCACUGGACAAUCUUGGCAGUACUGGUACUAGAAUCGAGCUGGGAGCCUAGAUUCGUAGAAGAAAACGGUACCCUGGAAAAUCAAAUAGGAGCGUUCGGUACAGAGAGACUACCGUUCCCCGUUCCCACUUCCCUUUCUAAUACCAGCAGUUCUCAACAUUGCGGGUCGGCCGUUGCGCGUCGCGCCGUACGUGGAUACAUACAACAUCGGGCAACCUACCACCGCUACGAUUUAACGAACCAGUUACAACUACUGUUCUCAGUUAGAAUUCAUUCUUUCCUAGUUCUUACCUACAUACGGAUAUCUACGAGGAAAGUUUCGAUCAUAAAUACGAUGCGUCAUUUUUUCUUCCUCUUCGCAACUGUGCCGUUGUAUCAGUGAACCGUGUUUCCUGUUUGCACGGUCAGGAAAUAUUUUAGGAAACUUUUAUCUGGAAUGUUUUGCAAAAUCAGAUCGUAAUAUCAACAUCGCGGAAACAUGUUCGUUUCCGCUAUUAUUAGUUCUUUGAACCCAGAUCUAAAGUAGGUGCAAAUCGACGGUUUUACAACGAAUUGGUACGAUCAAAUUUCUACUCCCCACCCUUCGUCUCAUACCGAGAACGUUAGACAAAAUAAAGCAAGAUAAGUCUGUACGCAUCAUCGCGGUGCCAGACUGGCCAAACCAAGAAUGGUACCUUUUACUUCCAAAGAUGGCAGUAGGGGACCCGAUAAUCUUUGAACCGAACGUUAACCUUCUACUAUCGCUAUGCAGGAGGAGAAUGCACCCACAAUCGAGCUGGUUACAUUUGAUGGCGACCAGAGUAUCAGGGAGGCAUUCCUAAGAAAGGAGGUGCCUAUAGAAGCAAUCGACUUGUUACUAGCGUCCUUGACGGAAAAUACAAGAAAGCGAUACAGGUCGACUCUACGGAGCUAGUGAUAAUUCCGGAAGAUGAAUAGACUUUAUUUUCACUUCCCUUCGACAGCCAUAUUACUCACGUGGCUGACGGAAAACUCCACACGAGGAGCAUCUCAUGGUGUCUUGUGCAUAGUAAUCGGCUGUAUCGCUUAUGUCGCAGACGGAAAUAGACAAGAGAGGCCUAAUAUCAAGAUUUAUGAAGGACAUAUUGAAAUUAGGGCCAUCAAAGCCGAAAUACACAACCAGACGACAUGUGGCCAAGGUUCUAGAGCUAUUUCAGUCGACAAACUUAUGGAAAUUAACAGAAGAAACAAAAUGGCCCAUAGAACUCAGACAUUAGCCGCUAUAAUGAUUGAAAAUGUUUCUCUCUGAUCCAAGAAGAAUACGAAUAAAAAUUCUCCACGCCAUCAAAAUGACUAAUCCAGGACGUUCUCGACCAUUACGCAUGCGAUUAACGCGCACUACUGAUAUAUUUUAAAAAGAAUUUCAAAAUAUGUAUAGUAUCUACAUUAGAGGACUACAUGGGAAUUAUUAAGUUCAAAAGAGGAGAAAAUAAAUACACAUGUUUACAGCAA